Apis mellifera (honey bee) is the source of this 1679-nucleotide long non-coding RNA. RefSeq lists it as uncharacterized. The record is from RefSeq and is a predicted model, not a curated record. The transcript is spliced from 3 exons. NCBI's taxonomy places the organism in Eukaryota, Metazoa, Arthropoda, Insecta, Hymenoptera, Apidae.
GUUUUGACUAAUUUUUUGAAGAGAAAAAAAAGAAGAAAUAAGAAUUAAGAAACAACUCUCAAUAAGCCAAUGUAGUGAUUUAUAAGUAUGAUGAUCGAUUAAGUUCGAGUUACACUAGCGGUCUAGUCACGCUAUAAUCACGACUUGGUCGCAGAAGCUUCAAACAUUAUUCAAUACUCUGAAGUGUAACUUGCACAUGAAUGUUGACGAGUACUGGAUCAUCGAAAAACAAGGUUUAUUCUCAUGAUUCAAGGUUUUUAAACUCAGACGUGUGAAUUCUGUGCUAUUCUUUUGUUUUGUUUCAGAUGUUUAUAUUUCCUGGUAAUUUUGAUAUCUUAAUUUCUUGAAUAUUUUUUUUUAAUUUUAUUAAAUUCUAGUUUCUACGUUAUUGUAUUAUUCCUUUUCUCGCUUUGCGUGUUCUAUUACAUAAUUCAAAUAACAAUUUUAAAAUAAGAGAUUCAACAUUAAUCUUAAUCUUAACUUAAUUGAUUUCAGAAGAUAUAAUUAAAUUUAAUAUACGUAAUAUGUUAUAGAGAGUCACGUACUUAGUUGGCUUUGUUUCAGAAAUGAAAACAAGUAUGAUUUGCUUUCUAUGCAACACGUGCAAGUAUUAUAUACAAUGGUUUCCGGUUAAAACAAGUCGAUAACAGAAACCGAUAUAAAAAAAAACAAACACAUCUUCUGCAAAAUAUUACCAGAGAUUAAUCUUCGAACUCAAUCAUUUUCUGUUCACAAAAGAAACAGCACUAUUUUCUAAUUAUUUAUAUAAAACAAAAAAAUAUCAUAAGCAGAAGAAAAGACAGUAUCUUUCUUAUUUUCAAAGCUCAAUCUCAUCAAACAACCAUGUUAAGUCUUACCAAAUCAGUCUCAACUAAGGAUUAACUGAUGAAAGAAGUAUACAGGUAUCGAGAAAGGGAAAUGAGCACAAAGGUCAACGGGAUUCCUGUACCAAAUAAGUUCUGAGGAAAAGAAGCAUUCCAUAUGGCAUACUUGUUGAUUGUGGAAAUUAUGUAUUACUCCCAUCUGAUAGUGCACGAUCAGAAAGCUAUAAUCAUUCUUUAUACUAUACGAGUGGAGAUGGUACAAAUAGCAUAACUGUAUGUACGGAUCUUCUGCUCGGGAGUGACGGGGAGCAAGCCGACAUUUUUAUUCUAAUGCGUGCUCACCGGCUGCGUUCACCAAGGUAAACGCGCUCGGAACGCUGGUGAAAAUAACAGAGCUCGGUACGUCAUAUGCCUCUCUAUCGACUACACUACUGAUUUUACUGUGUGGAAAUUGCAACAAUACAAGAGACCAAUAUUAGUUGGAUUAAUUUAUAAAAAUUUAAUAUUACAUUUGGGUUGCUGCAAUUAGAAACACAUUAAACACUUGAUACAUCAAAACAUUAUACAUCAGACCAAAGUGUAAAUCUAAACAGAGAGUUUGGAUUAAAAGCAACGCCAUCGAAUCGACUAUUUGAGAAAUCCUCGGCGUCAUAAUGAUGGAUCACGACGAGUUUUUCUUCUUGGACAUCGUCCAAAGAUGAUAUGUACAUUUUGACUGUCUCCGUGUUAAAUCGGAUAUUUGUGUCAAUUGAUGUUUUUUGACCGUGAAUAUUUUCUUCACGGUCCAAUAAAUUAAAUUUUACAAAGCAACGAUCUAUUGAGUCGAUUUUUUUUUUCAUUAAUUUAUUCCAAAAU